RNAcentral lists this ribosomal RNA (253 nucleotides) under uncultured bacterium. RNAcentral describes it as "partial 16S ribosomal RNA". It matches the Rfam family "Bacterial small subunit ribosomal RNA", at positions 524 to 776 of the family's 1533-position model. The record is from RNAcentral.
UACGUAGGGUGCGAGCGUUAAUCGGAAUUAUUGGGAGUAAAGUGUGCGAAGGCGGUUUUGAAAGUUAGACGUGAAAUCCCUCGGCUCAACCGGGGAACUGCGUCUGAUACUGGGCGGCUUGAAUUCGGGAGAGGGAUGCGGAAUUCCAGGUGUAGCGGUGAAAUGCGUAGAUAUCUGGAGGAACACCGGUGGCGAAGGCGGCAUCCUGGACCGAGAUUGACGCUGAGGCGCGAAAGCCAGGGGAGCAAACGGG